UUACCUUUGGGUGGGGAACAACAGCCGGAAACGGCUGCUAAUACCGCAUAAUGCAGCGGCAUCGCAAGAUGACAGUUGUUAAAGCGGGGGAUCGCAAGACCUCGCGCCUAAAGAGAAGCCCGCGGCAGAUUAGCUAGUUGGUCGGGUAAUGGCCUACCAAGGCAACGAUCUGUAACCGGCCUGAGAGGGCGGUCGGUCACACUGACACUGACAUACGGGUCAGACUCCUACGGGAGGCAGCAGUCGGGAAUUUUGGGCAAUGGGCGAAAAGCCUGACCCAGCAACGCCGCGUGAAGGAUGAAAGCUUUUCGGAGUGUAAACUUCACAAGAAUGGGAAGAAUAAGUUUAGGAUAAUACCCUGAACGAUGAC
This 370-nucleotide ribosomal RNA is filed under the name uncultured bacterium. RNAcentral describes it as "bacterial SSU rRNA". It matches the Rfam family "Bacterial small subunit ribosomal RNA", at positions 126 to 473 of the family's 1533-position model. The record is from RNAcentral.